Molecule: small nuclear RNA, 165 nt
Gene: U1
Rfam family: U1 spliceosomal RNA
About the family: U1 is a small nuclear RNA (snRNA) component of the spliceosome (involved in pre-mRNA splicing). Its 5' end forms complementary base pairs with the 5' splice junction, thus defining the 5' donor site of an intron.
Source: Ensembl
UUACUUACCUGCCAAGGGAGAUACCGUGAUCAAGAAGGCGGUUCACCCAGGGCGAGGCUCAGCCAUUGCACUUUGGCUGUGCUGACCCCUGCGAAUUCCCCAAAUGUGGGAAAUCACGACUUCAUAAUUUCUGGUAGUGGGGGACUGCGUUUGCGCUCUCCCCUG